UACAGAGGGUGCAAGCGUUGUUCGGAAUUAUUGGGCGUAAAGCGCGUGUAGGCGGCUGAGCAAGUUAGGUGUGAAAAGCCCUCGGCUUAACCGAGGAAGUGCGCCUAAAACUACUUAGCUUGAGUACCGGAGAGGAUGGUGGAAUUCCCGGUGUAGAGGUGAAAUUCGUAGAUAUCGGGAGGAACACCAGUGGCGAAGGCGGCUCACUGGACCGGAACUGACGCUGAGGCGCGAAAGCGUGGGGAGCAAACAGG
This 254-nucleotide ribosomal RNA is filed under the name uncultured bacterium. Its description in RNAcentral is "partial 16S ribosomal RNA". It matches the Rfam family "Bacterial small subunit ribosomal RNA", at positions 524 to 776 of the family's 1533-position model. The record is from RNAcentral.